AUUGAACGCUGGCGGCAGGCCUAACACAUGCAAGUCGAACGGUAACAGGAAGCAGCUUGCUGCUUCGCUGACGAGUGGCGGACGGGUGGGUAAUGUCUGGGAAGCUGCCUGAUGGAGGGGGAUAACUACUGGAAACGGUAGCUAAUACCGCAUAAUGUCGCAAGACCAAAGAGGGGGACCUUCGGGCCUCUUGCCAUCGGAUGUGCCCAGAUGGGAUUAGCUUGUUGGUGGGGUAACGGCUCACCAAGGCGACGAUCCCUAGCUGGUCUGAGAGGAUGACCAGCCACACUGGGACUGAGACACGGUCCAGACUCCUACGGGAGGCAGCAGUGGGGAAUAUUGCACAAAGGGCGCAAGCCUGAUGCAGCCAUGCCGCGUGUAUGAAGAAGGCCUUCGGGUUGUAAAGUACUUUCAGCGGGGAGGAAGGGAGUAAAGUUAAUACCUUUGCUCAUUGACGUUACCCGCAGAAGAAGCACCGGCUAACUCCGUG
RNAcentral lists this ribosomal RNA (490 nucleotides) under uncultured bacterium. RNAcentral's name for it is "partial 16S ribosomal RNA". It matches the Rfam family "Bacterial small subunit ribosomal RNA", at positions 30 to 507 of the family's 1533-position model. The record is from RNAcentral.